GUGACUCUGAUGUAGCAUGUGGCGUGUGUAAGCCAAUUUCAUAUACUCUUCUCUUCAGUACAUGUACUUGUAACGAUAUCCAUUCUUGCGAAACGACGAGAUGCACUUCUAUCCCUGUCGAGUCCCUCGCGCCAAAAUAAGGAUAUGAUCGCAUCUUGGGACAGAUGAGAAGAACUCCAGAAAGAAAUUAGAGAUUGAUC
This 200-nucleotide long non-coding RNA is filed under the name Hordeum vulgare. RNAcentral describes it as "long non-coding RNA (HVUL_LNC004008)". Lineage: Eukaryota; Viridiplantae; Streptophyta; Magnoliopsida; Poales; Poaceae. The record is from RNAcentral.